Molecule: long non-coding RNA, 615 nt
Organism: Catharus ustulatus (Swainson's thrush)
Lineage: Eukaryota; Metazoa; Chordata; Aves; Passeriformes; Turdidae
Exons: 2
Source: RefSeq, a predicted model, not a curated record
GGAGGAGGCCGAAGGAGCCCCCGAGAGGGGGGAGGGGAGCAGGAGCCCCUCCCCCACCCCGGACCCCCGGCGAACUUUGACCUUCGAGGACGAGGACGACGACCCCGAGCCCCUCCCCCCACCCCAAUAAACAACAGGAAGUGACGUCAUCACAGCUCCGAGCCCCUCCCGAUCCAAACAAACAACAGGAAGUGACAUCAUCAUGGCUCCUGAGCCCCUCCCAAUCCAAAUAAACAACAGGAAGUGACGUCAUCACGGCUCCUGAGCCCCUCCCGAUCCAAAUAAACAACAGGAAGUGACGUCAUCACGGCUACUGAGCCCCUCCCGAUCCAAAUAAACAACAGGAAGUGACAUCAUCACGGCUCCUGAGCUCCUCCAAAUCCAAAUAAACAACAGGAAGUGACGUCAUCACGGCUCCUGAGCCCCUCCCAAUUUAAAUAAACAACAGGAAGUGACGUCAUCACGGCUACUGAGCUACUCCAAAUCCAAAUAAACAACAGGAAGUGACGUCAUCACGGCUCCUGAGCCCCUCCCAAUCCAAAUAAACAACAGGAAGUGACGUCAUUAUGGCUCCUGAGCCCCUCCCGAUCCAAAUAAACAACAGGAAGUGACGUC